CCUACGGGAGGCAGCAGUGAGGAAUAUUGGUCAAUGGACGAGAGUCUGAACCAGCCAAGUAGCGUGAAGGAUGACUGCCCUAUGGGUUGUAAACUUCUUUUAUAUGGGAAUAAAAUGUUCCACGUGUGGGAUUUUGUAUGUACCAUAUGAAUAAGGAUCGGCUAACUCCGUGCCAGCAGCCGCGGUAAUACGGAGGAUCCGAGCGUUAUCCGGAUUUAUUGGGUUUAAAGGGAGCGUAGGUGGAUUGUUAAGUCAGUUGUGAAAGUUUGCGGCUCAACCGUAAAAUUGCAGUUGAAACUGGCAGUCUUGAGUACAGUAGAGGUGGGCGGAAUUCGUGGUGUAGCGGUGAAAUGCUUAGAUAUCACGAAGAACUCCGAUUGCGAAGGCAGUUCACUGGACUGCAACUGACGCUGAGGCUCGAAAGUGUGGGUAUCAAACAGGAUUAGAUACCCGAGUAGUC
Molecule: ribosomal RNA, 460 nt
Filed under: uncultured bacterium
Lineage: Bacteria
Description: partial 16S ribosomal RNA
Rfam family: Bacterial small subunit ribosomal RNA
Source: RNAcentral